This is a long non-coding RNA of Mauremys reevesii (Reeves's turtle), 188 nucleotides long. RefSeq lists it as uncharacterized. The record is from RefSeq and is a predicted model, not a curated record. The transcript has 3 exons. NCBI's taxonomy places the organism in Eukaryota, Metazoa, Chordata, Testudines, Geoemydidae.
CCCAGGGCAGAGCCCCCAGCCCGGCCCCUGCCCCGGGGGCCCCGCUCGGAGGGAAGGCUGAGGAAUCACGUUAAUCUUUCGAUCCAGAUGGGCCCGUCUUCCAGGACGCAGGAAAGGGAAAUGUCUGUGACGGAGCCAGCUUGGAUGCCGGUGACCUUUGAGGAGGUGGCUGUGUAUUUCACCCAGGA